GAAAUGCGAUAAGUAAUGUGAAUUGCAGAAUUCAGUGAAUCAUCGAAUCUUUGAACGCACAUUGCGCCCGCCAGUAUUCUGGCGGGCAUGCCUGUUCGAGCGUCAUUACAACCCUCAGGCCCCCGGGCCUGGCGUUGGGGAUCGGCGGAAGCCCCCUGCGGGCACAACGCCGUCCCCCAAAUACAGUGGCGGUCCCGCCGCAGCUUCCAUUGCGUAGUAGCUAACACCUCGCAACUGGAGAGCGGCGCGGCCACGCCGUAAAACACCCAACUUCUGAAUGUUGACCUCGAAUCAGGUAGGAAUACCCGCUGAACUUAAGC
This 320-nucleotide unclassified non-coding RNA is filed under the name plant metagenome. RNAcentral's name for it is "partial contains 5.8S ribosomal RNA, internal transcribed spacer 2, and large subunit ribosomal RNA". The stretch from base 1 to 105 matches the Rfam family "5.8S ribosomal RNA", at positions 50 to 154 of the family's 154-position model. The record is from RNAcentral.